GCGCCUGCAAAAUCAGGCGUCAGGAUUAGCCUCCUGAACUACCUCAUCAGCGACACGAGUGUUAUCGUGUCGUGC
This 75-nucleotide small RNA is filed under the name Enterobacter cloacae. RNAcentral describes it as "isrK". The record is from RNAcentral. Lineage: Bacteria; Pseudomonadati; Pseudomonadota; Gammaproteobacteria; Enterobacterales; Enterobacteriaceae.